CCUACGGGGGGCUGCAGUGGGGAAUAUUGGGCAAUGGGCGCAAGCCUGACCCAGCAACGCCGCGUGAAGGAAGAAGGCUUUCGGGUUGUAAACUUCUUUUGUCAGGGAAGAGUGGAAGACGGUACCUGACGUAUAAGCCACGGCUAACUACGUGCCAGCAGCCGCGGUAAUACGGAGGUGGCAAGCGUUGUCCGGAUUUACUGGGGGUAAAGGGCGUGUAGCCGGGUUGACAAGUCAGAUGUGAAAUCGUGCGGGAUAAACGAAGAACUGCAUUUGAAACUGUUGAUCUUGAGUACUGGAGAGGCAGACGGAAUUCCUAGUGUAGCGGUGAAAUGCGUAGAUAUUAGGAGGAACACCAGUGGCGAAGGCGGCUUACUGGACUGUAACUGACGUUGAGGCUCGAAAGCGUGGGGAGCAAACAGGAUUAGAUACCCCAGUAGUC
RNAcentral lists this ribosomal RNA (442 nucleotides) under uncultured bacterium. Its description in RNAcentral is "partial 16S ribosomal RNA". It matches the Rfam family "Bacterial small subunit ribosomal RNA", at positions 338 to 795 of the family's 1533-position model. The record is from RNAcentral.